This 467-nucleotide ribosomal RNA is filed under the name uncultured bacterium. RNAcentral's name for it is "bacterial SSU rRNA". It matches the Rfam family "Bacterial small subunit ribosomal RNA", at positions 326 to 793 of the family's 1533-position model. The record is from RNAcentral.
ACGCUAUCACUCCUACGGGAGGCAGCAGUAAGGAAUAUUGGACAAUGCUCGCAAGAGUGAUCCAGCCAUUCCGCGUGCAGGAUGACUGCCCUAUGGGUUGUAAACUGCUUUUAGAUGGGAAGAAAGUGCGACAUUUAUGUUGUUUUGACGGUACCAUCAGAAUAAGGACCGGCUAACUCCGUGCCAGCAGCCGCGGUAAUACGGAGGGUCCAAGCGUUAUCCGGAAUCACUGGGCGUAAAGCGCAUGCAGGCGGCCUGUUAAGUCAGAUGUGAAAGCCCGGGGCUUAACCUCGGAAUUGCAUUUGAAACUGGUAGGCUAGAGUCUUGUAGAGGGGGUAGAAUUUCAGGUGUAGCGGUGAAAUGCGUAGAGAUCUGAAGGAAUACCAGUGGCGAAGGCGGCCCCUGGACAAAGACUGACGCUCAGAUGCGAAAGCGUGGGGAGCAAACAGGAUUAGAUACCCUGGUAG